CAGCAGCCGCGGGAAUACGAAGGGUGCAAGCGUUAAUCGGAAUUACUGGGCGUAAAGCGUGCGUAGGCGGUGAGUUAAGUCUGCUGUGAAAUCCCCGGGCUCAACCUGGGAAUGGCAGUGGAUACUGGCUCGCUAGAGUGUGUCAGAGGAUGGUGGAAUUCCCGGUGUAGCAGUGAAAUGCGUAGAUAUCGUGAGGAAGACCAGUGGCGAAGGCGAUUCUCUGGGCAGUUCCUGACACUGAGGCACGAAGGCCAGGGGAGCAAACGGGAUUAGAUACCCCCGUAGUCCCUGUCUCUUAUAC
Molecule: ribosomal RNA, 301 nt
Filed under: uncultured bacterium
Lineage: Bacteria
Description: partial 16S ribosomal RNA
Rfam family: Bacterial small subunit ribosomal RNA
Source: RNAcentral